GACGAACGCUGGCGGCGUGCUUAACACAUGCAAGUCGAACGGGAAGGCCCUGCUUUUGUGGGGUGCUCGAGUGGCGAACGGGUGAGUAACACGUGAGUAACCUGCCCUUGACUUUGGGAUAACUUCAGGAAACUGGGGCUAAUACCGGAUAGGAGCUCCUGCUGCAUGGUGGGGGUUGGAAAGUUUCGGCGGUUGGGGAUGGACUCGCGGCUUAUCAGCCUGUUGGUGGGGUAGUGGCUUACCAAGGCUUUGACGGGUAGCCGGCCUGAGAGGGUGACCGGCCACAUUGGGACUGAGAUACGGCCCAGACUCCUACGGGAGGCAGCAGUGGGGAAUAUUGCACAAUGGGCGGAAGCCUGAUGCAGCAACGCCGCGUGCGGGAUGACGGCCUUCGGGUUGUAAACCGCUUUCGCCUGUGACGAAGCGUGAGUGACGGCAAUGGGUAAAGAAGCACCGGCUAACUACGUG
RNAcentral lists this ribosomal RNA (468 nucleotides) under uncultured bacterium. Its description in RNAcentral is "partial 16S ribosomal RNA". It matches the Rfam family "Bacterial small subunit ribosomal RNA", at positions 28 to 507 of the family's 1533-position model. The record is from RNAcentral.